GACGAACGCUGGCGGCGUGCCUAAUACAUGCAAGUCGAACGCUGAAGAGAGGAGCUUGCUCUUCUUGGAUGAGUUGCGCACGGGUGAGUAACGCGUAGGUAACCUGCCUUGUAGCGGGGGAUAACUAUUGGAAACGAUAGCUAAUACCGCAUAACAAUGGAUGACACAUGUCAUUUAGUUGAAAUUGGCAAUUGCUCCACUACAAGAUGGACCUGCGUUGUAUUAGCUUGUAGGUGAGGUAAUGGCUCACCUAGGCGACGAUAUAGAGCCGCACUGAGAGGGUGAUCGGCCAGACUGGGAGGGUGACACGGCACAGACGGCCAGGGGAGGCAGCCGUAGUGAAUCGUGGGGAAGGGGGGGAACACUGAGCGAGAUACGCGGAGGGAGUGAAGAAGAAUGUCGGAUCCGAAAGCACUGUUGUAAGUUAAGAAAGCGCGUGAGAGUGGAAAGUACACAGUGUGACGGUAGUUGAUAAGAAAGGGACGGCUAACUACGUG
Molecule: ribosomal RNA, 497 nt
Filed under: uncultured bacterium
Lineage: Bacteria
Description: partial 16S ribosomal RNA
Rfam family: Bacterial small subunit ribosomal RNA
Source: RNAcentral